Molecule: long non-coding RNA, 721 nt
Filed under: Rattus norvegicus (Norway rat)
Lineage: Eukaryota; Metazoa; Chordata; Mammalia; Rodentia; Muridae
Description: long non-coding RNA NONRATT004135
Source: RNAcentral
GGGUUCGGUCCCCAGCUCCAAAAAAAGAAAAAAAAAAAAAAAAGAAAGCAAGCUGACCAAGUCACAGGCAGCAAUCCAGCAACCCCUCCAAUGGCCUCUGCAUCGGCUCCUGCCUCCAGGUUCCAGCCCUGUUUGAGUUCCUGCCCUGACUUCCCUCAAAGGACUGUGAUGUGGAACUGUAAGUUCUAAUAAACCUUUUCUUCUCCAAGUUGCUUUAGGUCAUGGUGUUUUAUCACAGCGAUAGAAACCUUAACUGAAACAAAUAGGCAAGGGGUAGGAAAGAUGGCUCAGAGGUUAAGAGCACUGGCUGCUCUUACAGAGGACCCUGGUUCAAUUCCCGGCACCCACAUGGCAGCUCACAACUGUCUGUAACUCCAGUUCCAGAGGAUCUGAUAGCCCCACACAAGCAAAGCACCAGUGCACAUAUUUUUUUUAAAACAUCAGAGAAACUUUUUAAAAAUGUAGGUAAUAGGCAAAACUUACUCUUGUGCCAUCUCUGGGAUGACCCUCUGCAGUCUAGAGCAAAUCAAGUCUUACUCAUCUGAGUGACAGUCACUCUCAUCUGAGUGACUGCUCAGGGUGGCACGAGGGUACUGGAAGCCACACCCACUCCAGCGUUCUGUCUGUGGUUCCUCUUUGACUUUUGUCUGUCUGAGUCACUGUGAUAGAAGCAGUGUGCUCUGUGAAGCCUAAAAUAUCACCAUCCACUCCUCCCCAGAAA